GGGUACUCGAGCGGCGAAAGGGAGAGUAACGCGUGGAUUAUCUGCCCUGGGGAUCGGGAUAGCCGCGGGAAACUGCGGGUAAUACCGGAUAAUGUCUACGGACCAAAGGUGUGAUUCCGCCCUAGGAGGAGUCCGCGUCCUAUUAGCUAGUUGGCGAGGUAACGGCUCACCAAGGCUACGAUGGGUACCGGGCGUUAGCGCGUGACCCGGCUCACUGGGACUGAGACACUGCCCAGACACCUACGGGUGGCUGCAGUCGAGAAUCUUCGGCAAUGGGCGCAAGCCUGACCGAGCGACGCCGCGUGCGGGAUGAAGGCCUUCGGGUUGUAAACCGCUGUCAGUGGGGAGGAAAUCUGAGAGGGUUCUCUCUUUCAGUUGACCUAUCCGCAGAGGAAGCAUGGGCUAAGUUCGUGCCAGCAGCCGCGGUAAGACGAACCAUGCGAACGUUAUUCGGAAUGACUGGGCUUAAAGCGUGCGUAGGCGGUCUCGAAAGUUGGGUGUGAAAUCCCCCGGCUCAACCGGGGAAUUGCGCCCAAAACUGCGGGACUCGAGGGAGAUAGAGGUGGGCGGAACUUCGGGUAGAGCGGUGAAAUGCGUUGAUAUCCGAAGGAACACCAGAGGCGAAAGCGGCCCACUGGAUCUUUUCUGACGCUGAGGCACGAAAGCUAGGGGAGCGAACGGGAUUAGAUACCCCGGUAGUCCUAGCCGUAAACGAUGAGCACUGGAUUGGAGGGUCUCCCAUAGCCUUCCGGUCGUAGCGAAAGUGUUAAGUGCUCCGCCUGGGGAUUAUGGUCGCAAGGCUGAACUCAA
RNAcentral lists this ribosomal RNA (810 nucleotides) under uncultured bacterium. Its description in RNAcentral is "bacterial SSU rRNA". It matches the Rfam family "Bacterial small subunit ribosomal RNA", at positions 85 to 904 of the family's 1533-position model. The record is from RNAcentral.